ACAGGAAGCAGCUUGCUGCUUCGCUGACGAGUGGCGGACGGGUGAGUAAUGUCUGGGAAACUGCCUGAUGGAGGGGGAUAACUACUGGAAACGGUAGCUAAUACCGCAUAACGUCGCAAGACCAAAGAGGGGGACCUUCGGGCCUCUUGCCAUCGGAUGUGCCCAGAUGGGAUUAGCUAGUAGGUGGGGUAACGGCUCACCUAGGCGACGAUCCCUAGCUGGUCUGAGAGGAUGACCAGCCACACUGGAACUGAGACACGGUCCAGACUCCUACGGGAGGCAGCAGUGGGGAAUAUUGCACAAUGGGCGCAAGCCUGAUGCAGCCAUGCCGCGUGUAUGAAGAAGGCCUUCGGGUUGUAAAGUACUUUCAGCGGGGAGGAAGGGAGUAAAGUUAAUACCUUUGCUCAUUGACGUUACCCGCAGAAGAAGCACCGGCUAACUCCGUGCCAGCAGCCGCGGUAAUACGGAGGGUGCAAGCGUUAAUCGGAAUUACUGGGCGUAAAGCGCACGCAGGCGGUUUGUUAAGUCAGAUGUGAAAU
Molecule: ribosomal RNA, 539 nt
Filed under: Escherichia coli
Lineage: Bacteria; Pseudomonadati; Pseudomonadota; Gammaproteobacteria; Enterobacterales; Enterobacteriaceae
Description: bacterial SSU rRNA
Rfam family: Bacterial small subunit ribosomal RNA
Source: RNAcentral